UGUUUUGGCGCCAAGCUGCUGUUUCUUUGAGAGAUCCUGCCUUUACCUGCUCCCUCCUAUACUGAUGUGGUGUAUGUGGUAUUGCUGAGCUUGUAUGUGGUGGAAGCAGAAUAUGUGAGGAUUACUACUGCUGCACAUGUUCCAAGGCUUUUUACACAACUUGACCAAUACACCAAUGACCAGCUCAUAAAAGUCUUCAAGAAAAAAGGAGGCGUUGCAGGGAAGAAAAUUAGACAAACUUUGGCCCCAGCCACACAGGUGCGUUAUUCUGUUGGUAGCAAAAUAUUAUGGCUAAUAAGAUCAUUUUCAAAUUUAAACAGCUAGUGUAUGGUAGCUGCACAGUGCACUUACAUUUAUAUUAAGCAAGACAAAGUUUGGUACUCAAAACGUUGGAAAAUUUAAAUUACCUAAACAUAUGUAAAAUCUGAUCCCUUGAUUUAGGUUAAACCAGAAGUGAAUGUUUUUAUGUUAUGUUUUGAAUGCAAAAAAGAUGAUGUAUUAGUUUGUCUUUACCUCCAUUAUGGACAUAUAUAAUGUGGUGGAAACCCUGCCCAACAGGUUAACUAUUC
Maylandia zebra (zebra mbuna) is the source of this 569-nucleotide non-coding RNA. The record is from RefSeq and is a predicted model, not a curated record. Lineage: Eukaryota; Metazoa; Chordata; Actinopteri; Cichliformes; Cichlidae.